Molecule: long non-coding RNA, 1948 nt
Filed under: Triticum aestivum (bread wheat)
Lineage: Eukaryota; Viridiplantae; Streptophyta; Magnoliopsida; Poales; Poaceae
Description: long non-coding RNA (TAES_LNC028674)
Source: RNAcentral
UUCUUUCCCUUUUUUUCACGAGGAGUUCUCUUUCUAUUUUUUCUAGUGCCUUUUUUCCCGGCUGCAAUAGCAGGCAACCUUUGAUUGAUUUUGUUUAUGCACAUAUGUACCGUAGGAAAAUAGUAAUGGCAUAGGUGGGUAAUUUUCUUUCAUUUGUAACGUUGAUAGGUAAUUGUUGAGAUCUAUUGGCUGUGGUUUCCCGAAUUAUUAAAUUAAUGCUAGAUGUUUCUAAUUUUUGUUAGAAUUUCUAAGGUAUUUUCUUUUUUCUAGUUAACCCAUCAUUUACUUUUUAUGUUAAAUAGAUGAGCUCUGCUGAAGGUCAUAUAUGUAUUAAUUUGCUACAUCAAGGUUCCAAAUAACUCACAUGGUGCAUCCACUUUCUUUUCCCAAAUAAAUCAAGGGCUCUUCCAAGGCUGUUUAAACAGUAAAAUAUAUAUCAAAUAAAAAAUCCUUUACAGCUAUAUAAUAUAUACAUACAAAAGAGUAUUUACUUACUAAUACUCCGAGCUGAAGAAACUUUUUAGCAUCGUGUCACUUGUUUGGAUGGAGAAUAGUUGAAAAGAGUGAGAGAAUACACACUACUACAUAUAAGACAAACAUCUAGAUGACGCACCUAUGAGGCUGUGAUAACCAUUGUUUGCAACUACAUCACACCAACAUUCAAUGGGGUCCUGUACAUGUAUUUUAGAUAUUAGAUGAAUUUAAGGUGCAGCUAAAAGAGUACAAAAAAUAAUAUUGUGAAGAAAAUGCUAUGGAAAACAUUAUUACUGAUGCAGCUAUGAUGGCCAAUGUUAUUAACUACACCUCUAAGAAUAGUCUUGUGAACAAAUUAAUAUGAAGAUAGUACUACACAAACGUCUCACUGAUUUCCUGCAAAUAAUGGUCACUGAAAUUCAUGUGCCAUGUCUCAGACACAAGAACCGGAAACCACAACUUUAAGCUAAGUGCUUUUGUUAAGCCUCUGGAGCUCCUCAUGGUAGUAAACAACCUAGUACGAAAGCCAAAUCCUUCUAUGUUCUUUUAACUCAAAUCAUCACAUGUCUACUUUUUCCCCCACAAGUAAAAUUAUACAGCUCCUCUUGGUGGCAAGGAACCUAGGGAACAACCGAAUUAGUACAUUCAUUCUUUUCUAAUUCAUAUCGAAUGGGCAAUCUUGGACAUCAUGAGUUCAAAGAACAUCAGAGAGAAUACAAAAUCUCUAGACACUAAGAAAAUUUAGGUGACCGCAGAAACAUGUUUGCACUCUCACUUGGACCUCCACCUCAUCUUGAAUCCUGGAACCUAACAUGGUGGGUGUAACACUACUGCGAAUCCAACUAACAAAAGAUUCGGGACCCCUUCUCUAUCAUUUCGGUUAUUACAGACUAUAUACUUUCCUGCCAUUAAAGACAUAAUAAAUUUUAAUGUCCAGGCGCAUAGCUGCAGUAACUAUAGAAUGUUAUACAGGUCCGUGAGUGAAAUUAACUCAAAGGUAUACAUGUAAACAUGGGUUUUAUUUGAUGAACAAUCAUUGAUUUGGCGCCUUGGUUUUCAGUAGGCUAGUGUCCAAAAGCUUAUCAAACAUGCAUAUCACCGGCUACAAAAUUCUUGCACUGAAAUCACGAUCAUAAUGGCAUAAUUUUUUGCACACUCUAGCAUUAUUGUAACACCAGCGGACACAUACUUACCAAAUGCCGAAUCAAUAUAGUGACACACUGGAACAUGGUUUCUAAUCUUAUUCUGCUCCAUCUCCCACUGUUGCCUCCAUCUGCACGUACUCCACAUAUCACAUAACUCCUUCUUCGGCUGCAGCUGUACGUGUGUUGUUACCUGUGCCGCACAGUAGGACUGAUUUGGCUAGGACCUGAAGCCGAGUUACAUGUACCUCUGUGCGCAAGGUAGGUUAAUUGAUCGUUCAAGAAGAUUCAAUAAACUGGUAGCAGAAGUCGGCGGCUACCAUCAUCAAUCA